UGGGGAAUAUUGGACAAUGGGCGAAAGCCUGAUCCAGCAAUGCCGCGUGAGUGAUGAAGGCCUUAGGGUUGUAAAGCUCUUUUACCCGGGAUGAUAAUGACAGUACCGGGAGAAUAAGCUCCGGCUAACUCCGUGCCAGCAGCCGCGGUAAUACGGAGGGAGCUAGCGUUGUUCGGAAUUACUGGGCGUAAAGCGCACGUAGGCGGCUACUCAAGUCAGAGGUGAAAGCCCAGGGCUCAACCCUGGAACUGCCUUUGAAACUAGGUAGCUAGAAUUCUGGAGAGGUCAGUGGAAUUCCGAGUGUAGAGGUGAAAUUCGUAGAUAUUCGGAAGAACACCAGUGGCGAAGGCGACUGACUGGACAGACAUUGACGCUGAGGUGCGAAAGCGUGGGGAGCAAACAGGAUUAGAUACCCCGGUAGUCC
RNAcentral lists this ribosomal RNA (424 nucleotides) under uncultured bacterium. Its description in RNAcentral is "bacterial SSU rRNA". It matches the Rfam family "Bacterial small subunit ribosomal RNA", at positions 355 to 796 of the family's 1533-position model. The record is from RNAcentral.